CAAGGUUGUAAAGCCCUUUUCUUGGACGAAGAAUAAGUCGAKGAGUGGCACACUUCACUGAUGACGUUAGUCGAGGAAGAAGCCCCGGCCAAUUACGUGCCAGCAGCGCGCKGUAACACGUAUGGGGCGAGCGUUGUUCGGAAUUACUGGGCGUAAAGGGUGCGCAGGCGGCUUGAGCAAGCUUGGUGUUAAAGACCCCGGCCUAACCGGGGGGUGCGCUGGGAACUGCUGGGCUGGAGUUCAGGAGGGGAAGCUGGAAUUCCUGGUGUAGGGGUGAAAUCUGUAGAGAUCAGGAAGAACACCGGUGGCGAAGGCGAGCUUCUGGCCAUGGACUGACGCUGAGGCRCGAAAGCGUGGGGAGCGAACAGGAUUAGAUACCCUGGUAGUCCACGCYGUAAACGAUGUGCACUAGGUGUUGGGYUCUUACAGCCUCGGUGCCGURGCKARCGUGUUAAGUGC
RNAcentral lists this ribosomal RNA (459 nucleotides) under uncultured spirochete. RNAcentral's name for it is "bacterial SSU rRNA". It matches the Rfam family "Bacterial small subunit ribosomal RNA", at positions 418 to 867 of the family's 1533-position model. The record is from RNAcentral. Lineage: Bacteria; Pseudomonadati; Spirochaetota; Spirochaetia; Spirochaetales.